UGAGUAUUACAUCAGGUACUUCAUGAUAUUUGAUAUCGCAGUGCCUUUUGUGAUAAUCACA
This 61-nucleotide microRNA precursor is filed under the name Eisenia fetida (common brandling worm). RNAcentral's name for it is "Efe-Mir-12-P1_pre stem-loop". Lineage: Eukaryota; Metazoa; Annelida; Clitellata; Crassiclitellata; Lumbricidae. The record is from RNAcentral.